AGCGAACGCUGGCGGCAGGCUUAACACAUGCAAGUCGAACGGAUCCUUCGGGAUUAGUGGCGGACGGGUGAGUAACACGUGGGAAUGUGCCUUUAGAUACGGAACAACUCAGGGAAACUUGAGCUAAUACCGUAUGUGCCCUUAGGGGGAAAGAUUUAUCGCCUUUAGAGCAGCCCGCGUCUGAUUAGCUAGUUGGUAGGGUAAAGGCCUACCAAGGCGACGAUCAGUAGCUGGUCUGAGAGGAUGAUCAGCCACAUUGGGACUGAGACACGGCCCAAACUCCUACGGGAGGCAGCAGUGGGGAGUCUUGCGCAAUGGGAGAAAGCCUGACGCAGCCAUGCCGCGUGAAUGAUGAAGGUCUUAGGAUUGUAAAAUUCUUUCAGUGGGGACGAUAAUGACGGUACCCACAGAAGAAGCCCCGGCUAACUUCGUGCCAGCCGCCGCGGUAA
Molecule: ribosomal RNA, 449 nt
Filed under: uncultured bacterium
Lineage: Bacteria
Description: partial 16S ribosomal RNA
Rfam family: Bacterial small subunit ribosomal RNA
Source: RNAcentral